AUGGCUAGUAAUUGGAGUUUCAGACAAUUUGGGGAGGUAAUUUGUAGCCAAUAUCCUUGGGGUUUGCUUGAUGAAGUGGUAUACAAAUACUAUGAUGGAAAAAAGAAAUGGGUGACAGUUAGUAAUGAUGAAGAGCUAACUACCAUGUUUGUUAGGCAUAAAGAGAAAGAUAAUUUUCAUGUGAUGCUGCAAGUUGAUGUGCUUGAGCAGGCAUUUGGACCUAGGAUGACGGGUGCAACAUCUCGGGGAGAACCAAGUCGUCGUAAUGGCAUAUCUAGCCAGAACAGUUCAGUUGGUGCACGGCGACAUGGUGGAUCGACAAGUGUGGGCAACAACAGUAGGGUCCCCCUUGAAGUGGAGUCUGAUGACUACAAUUCUGGGGUUGAUGAAGAGAAGCUAUAUUCUGAUGUUAUUCGGAAUUUACAAUGGGCACCUCGGGCUGAAAACAAAGAUGAGGCUCACAAUGCAGUCCGUGUGGAUGAUGACGCGGUGGGUGAGGACGAAGACCUUGCAGCUGUUGAAUGGGACCCUUUGAACCCUCAUAUGGAAGAAGGUACAGUUUUUGCAUCCAUGAAUGAGUGUAGAAAGGCACUUGUGACAUACUGCAUCAAGGUAGAAUGUACUUUCAAAGUUGACAAGAGCGAUCAAGUACGUUACAGAGUGCACUGUCCGACUGAGGGUUGUCCAUGGAGGCUGCUCGCAUCUAAAAUGCGAAAUAGCACUAAUGUUCAGGUCAAAGUGAACCCUUUUAAGCACACAUGCCAGAAAUCAACCCUUAGGAAGGAUACAAUCAGUAGAGCCAAGUCAAGAUGGGUGGCAGAAGAAGUAAAGAAGUGGGUGAAAGAAAACCAGCAAGUGGGUCCAAAGGAAUUGCAGAAGAACAUGAAAGAUAAGUUCAAGAUUGAUUUACCAUACAUGAGGUUGUUCAAUGGUAAACAACAUGCUAUGGAUUCUAUUUAUGGGAGGUUUAAAGAACAGUUAGUAGCAGCUUGUGCAGUU
RNAcentral lists this ribosomal RNA (999 nucleotides) under Triticum aestivum (bread wheat). RNAcentral describes it as "partial small subunit ribosomal RNA". The record is from RNAcentral. Lineage: Eukaryota; Viridiplantae; Streptophyta; Magnoliopsida; Poales; Poaceae.